Molecule: long non-coding RNA, 452 nt
Organism: Carassius carassius (crucian carp)
Lineage: Eukaryota; Metazoa; Chordata; Actinopteri; Cypriniformes; Cyprinidae
Exons: 2
Source: RefSeq, a predicted model, not a curated record
AUUCUUCCAGCUGCUGCGCGGACGCGCACGCGGCGUGCAAGCUCUUCAUCAACAGUUUGCACGAGCGUCAUAUGCUCAACCAACUAGUGAAAACCUCAGGGGCUUUGACAGAGACGACCACCGUGUUUAGAUAGAGCGCUUCUUCUCUCAGUGCGCUUAUUCAGUGUCGACUGUCUCGUGAGUUGCAGCAGCAGAGGGUCGAGCUGAAGAGUUUCACAGAGAAAAAAAGAAAAUUUGCAAGCAGCACUGUGGCUUUCCAAGUAAAGUUCUGUGAUACACUCCGACUCUAAUUGUUUGCAGUCAGUGCAUUACAGAACUUUGUUUUGGGAGUUUAAAUCUCAAGCCUGGAGUCAGUCCAUCUGGAUGAAGCUGUAACGCCCCUUGAAAACAGCAGUAAACUCCACAUCCUGUCCCUCAAAAACAUGCCCAAAUAAAUCACAUCGUUAUCAUCA